CGGGAGCCGGAAUCCGGCCGAGAGCGCGCACGGCCUGCCGGGAGCCGGGAGCGCGGUCCCGGGGGCUCCGCCCACAAGGCGGGCGCGGGGCCGCGCGCGGUCUCUCAGAGCCCCGUGGGGUGGGGCCCGCCGGGCGGGGCGUCCACUCCCCAGGUGACGCCGUAGUUCUCCUCCCCGUCCCUCGGUCCGCACCCUUGCGGACCUUUCCUCUCCGGUCGCUGUGGAGUUUCUCCAUUUCCCUUCGGUGGUGCAGUUAUCGUUUCGGACGUCUCAGUGUGGAUUUGGUGUAAUUUACCUCCUGAAAUCAUAUAUCCGACCCCUGAAUCUCAGAUUUCCCUUUUUCUGGAUCCUGGAAAAUUAUCAGCCAUUAUCUCUGAAAACAUUGGUUCUCCAUUCUCGUAGUCUCUCUCGUCAUUUGUUAAACAGGUUGGACGGCCUGUGUUUCCCCGUCGUUUUGCCGGUAACGUACAGCCUCAUCCCUACCAGCGCUCUCUUCCGCAGCUUCUAAUGCGUCUAGCUUGUUCGUCACGCUUUCAAAAAUCAUUAUUACCUACCUCCAUUUCUAAAAGUUGUAUUUGACUUGCAUUUGGAAGCUGAACAGCCUGAAACUCUCCCACAACGGAACACAGAAGCCCACACCACCCAGUCUGUGGCCACACCCUGCAUUCCGCCCUCAAGAAACCGCAAAGGGCUGGAAGCUCCCUUUCCGAAGCCGUCAGCUGGGUUCCUUCCUGUCCCGCCGCUCACGGCGCGCCCCACGGCUCGCAUGCUUCUCCUCGGGAGCACCCGGACCCGGACUAGCUCACCACGCGCGCACCUCCCAUGCGGACCAUCCUCACACUUCACACCCAUACGCGGGGACAAGCGGUCUCUGCUACUUUGUUUCUAGCUCCCUCUCCGCAGUAGGCACCUGAGAAAACCCACCCCGGAUGGACCCAGCCAUCCCCAUCACGACCGCUGCACAAACAUCACACAACCAGGCUGGCUGGCUUCACCUGAAACUUAAAACGAGUACUUCACACUUCCUUGCAAUCUUGGGAUUUUCUCCAGUAGGGGAAAGGAUUGUCAGCAGUAUGGAAGAGAACCCCAGUAUGAACUCCACAUGAAAACUUGGAAGGAUUAUACCAUUGAAGAUGCCAUCAUUGUUAUAGAAAAGGCUGUGAAAACCAUCAAGCUCCAAACGAUAAAUUCUUUCUGAAGAAAACUACCCACAUGUUGUGCGUGACCUCACGGGAUUUACGACAGAGCCAGUCAAGGAAACCAUGAGACUGUGGCUAUAGCAAAAAAAGGUGAGGGGUGAAGGGUUUCAAGAUAUGGAUCUUGCAGAAAUUCAAAAGCCAACAGACACUGCACCAGAGGAACUAACAGAAGACAAUGUGAUGGAGAUGAGUGCUUCUGAACCAGUGCCAGAUGAUGAGCAAGAUGUACAAGCAGCAGAGCAGAAAACAGACUGAUGUUAGGGGAUCUAACAGAAGGGUCCUGACCACUCAAGACUGCUUUUGACUUCUUUUACAACAUGGACGCUUCUGCGAUACGGGCACUGAAAUUAAGCAGUGGAGGAAAGACUGGCACUUACACAAAACACCUCAGAGAAAUGAGAAAGCCAAAAAGUCAGAUGGAAAUGAUGACGUAUUUCUGGAGGGUUCCACUGAGCGUGCCUCCCUCCCCCGCCUCCCCUUCUGCUGCUUCCACCUCUGCCACCUGAGACAGAAUGCCAAGCCUUCUGCUUGCCCGCCUUCUCAGCCCACCCAGUGUGACGUCAAGGAAGAUGAAGAAUUUGGGGAUGAUGUGCUUCCACGUGAUGAAUAGUAAAUCAUCAUCAUGCACUAUGGUUAGCAAACUUGCCUGUUGUGCAUGUGUGUGUCCUCGUGAAAAUCUAACAACUGAACGGCAAGAGCUGCAUGAGACGUUUUGUGUCAUCAUCACCGACUAGGUAUUCAUCAGGCAGAACAUUGUGGGCAAGACUCGUAUGGAAGUAGAUAGCCAAUCCUUACAGAAGCAUAAAGUGCGUGAUAAUAUAAAAUUAAUGUGUCAGUUUUCUGUUUUAUAACAUCGCUUUCAAAGAAUUACAUUACUGCGCGGUACACUGCUCUCUCCCCUCAUUGGAGAAAAUGCGUAUCAGCCUAUCAUCACAGAUUCUCAGGUCAAGACAAAGCACAAACAGUCAACUCCAAAGGAGAAAUCUUCUGAAGAAGAAUUAUAAGAAGUAACUCACAAAAAUUUUUAAUGGUAAAUCCAGAGGUGUUUGAGUUUCAACAACCUUGUGGGGCUGAGAUGAGAGCAGAGCACUUGUGGAAAAAAAAUCACAGUAAAGGCCAGGAGGAAGCUGUUUCCCUGAAGGAGAGGUUCUGGGCAAGUGUUCAGCUUCCUUCUCAAAAGUAAUAGACCAGGGGAACCUGGGCGGCUCAGUCACUUGAGUGUCUGCCUUCAGCUCAGGUCGUGAUCCCAGGGGCCUGGGAUGGAGCCCCGCAUCAGGCUUCCUGCUCUGUGGGGAGUCUGCUUCUCCCUCCAC
Ailuropoda melanoleuca (giant panda) is the source of this 2512-nucleotide long non-coding RNA. RefSeq lists it as uncharacterized. The record is from RefSeq and is a predicted model, not a curated record. NCBI's taxonomy places the organism in Eukaryota, Metazoa, Chordata, Mammalia, Carnivora, Ursidae. The transcript has 3 exons.